UACGGAGGGUGCAAGCGUUAUCCGGAUUCACUGGGUUUAAAGGGUGCGUAGGCGGGCAGGUAAGUCAGUGGUGAAAUCUCCGGGCUUAACCCGGAAACUGCCGUUGAUACUAUCUGUCUUGAAUAUCGUGGAGGUAAGCGGAAUAUGUCAUGUAGCGGUGAAAUGCAUAGAUAUGACCCGGAACACCUAUUGCGAAGGCAGCAGGCUAAACAAAUAUUGACGCUGAGGCUCGAAAGCGUGGGGAUCAAACAGG
This 253-nucleotide ribosomal RNA is filed under the name uncultured bacterium. Its description in RNAcentral is "partial 16S ribosomal RNA". It matches the Rfam family "Bacterial small subunit ribosomal RNA", at positions 524 to 776 of the family's 1533-position model. The record is from RNAcentral.